ACGUUGCCAUAAAAAAGUCUUGUC
RNAcentral lists this non-coding RNA (24 nucleotides) under Arabidopsis thaliana (thale cress). The record is from RNAcentral. Lineage: Eukaryota; Viridiplantae; Streptophyta; Magnoliopsida; Brassicales; Brassicaceae.